This is a long non-coding RNA of Hippocampus comes (tiger tail seahorse), 985 nucleotides long. RefSeq lists it as uncharacterized. The transcript has 3 exons. Lineage: Eukaryota; Metazoa; Chordata; Actinopteri; Syngnathiformes; Syngnathidae. The record is from RefSeq and is a predicted model, not a curated record.
UACAAAGACAAAUUCAUGGGUUUCAUUUCUCUUUUAUAUGAAUAGCUGAAAGCAACCGAGGCAAAAUAGCGUGCCAUAAAUGAUGCGGCCACGAUGAGUAAAUGCGCCGUUGAUUCAGUACAAAUUCCAAAUUUAGUGAGUCCGCAAUGAGAUUACUAAAACAGCUUGUGCAAUGGCGGCAUCGCAACGACAAAUACGCUGUGACGAUAGACUGCGCAUCCAAGAGGAGCAGUUUUCGGCGCCAGGCUACUUCCUGCUUGGUAUCUUAGCAACCAGUGCCAGAUUUGGACAUAAUUGGGAAACAUCCGGUCAACAAAAUACACCUGUCGGUCAGGUCUCAUGAAAAAAUCGAUGCCUUACGACAAAGGAUUAGAGUGAGGUCCAGAAAUAAAUAUAUUUUAAUGACAUUUGAAUUUGAGGCCAUGUCAUCAAAAAUUAAAUAUUGGCCUGAGUGUUUCAAUACAUUUGAGAUGGAUCAUGCAAUCCAAUUACUCAUUGACCAACAAAUGGGACUUUGGACCUCCGUGAAUGUUUCCUGCCCCUCAAAAGAGGAAGUCCAGAUGUCGACGCUUUCUCCAAUAAAACAUUAUCGCUGUUUACAACGGGUCAGUUCUGCAAACCUCAGAUCGACAAAUAUCCGCGCUCACCCGUUACGGAUGAAUUAGCGUUUCUCAGCGAGUUGUGACUCACGGCAUCUUGUGACUGCGGAUUCUUUCCAACCCGCUCACGUCACUUUAAACACUUUGAGGAAAGGAUGCCAUUCAUCAAUAAGGUGAUAUAGAACUGGGAGCCGUUGCUGUGUGGCCCCUUGUUGGCCAUACCCAGAGUGCCUCGCUUGGCGUGAGAAAGAGCGAAGCUCUCAUCUGAACGCAGACAAACAGAAGCCUCCGGCUGGUCGCACGUGAAAGCCCACUGGUCUUUGGCCCAGGUGACGAGAGCAUCGUUGUCCCCAAUGAACUGGCCAUCCACAAAGCACAUGACGCCA